RNAcentral lists this long non-coding RNA (1343 nucleotides) under Sus scrofa (pig). Its description in RNAcentral is "lncRNA (ENSSSCG00070001111.1)". Lineage: Eukaryota; Metazoa; Chordata; Mammalia; Artiodactyla; Suidae. The record is from RNAcentral.
CGGGACCGUGGGGCCCGAGAACCCUGGGUCAAGGAAACGCGAUAGAAAUGUUGCCCCCGGGGUCCUUUGCGAAGCAAGAAAUCCUGCAAUAAGUAAAACCUGGCGUCCAGCAGCGUGAGUGGUUCAUGUGGCCUGACUGAGGAUUGGCCAAUCAGCUUCCAAGUUUGAAAUUCCCCUAACUCCUUCAAUUUCGUCGGGGGCGCUGGAUCAGGGGGUAGACCUGAGAGCCUGGGCUCCUGCGUUCUUGCCGGCCAACCCCGCGAUAAGCCUCUUUCUCAUCUCAAAAGCCUGUGCUCUCUCUGGUCCUGGCUUUCAGGCAAGGCAGGCUGGGAGCCUUUGCUCCAUCACGGAAGGCGGUAAAUGCUCGGAUUCCAUCCUGGGUAUGUUAAAAACAAAAACAAAACAGACUUCCGGAUGAACAAAGACGAUGCUAUUGAUUCCGGUCUAAAGACACAGGUUGUACGCCUGUCGUUUCUUUGGUGCGUCUCAAAAAGACCGAGUGACCCAGAAGCACAUUUUCCUUGUAUCUCAUGGGCGCCGAAAGCUGAAAGGAGCUGAAGGAGAAUGUCACCAUUGUGUCGCGCUACAGAACGAGACGGAUGCGGCGGGCUCUGAUGGUUUUGGGCUCUUGGGAGAACCAGCCCAGGAGGCCGUGCCCGUGCUGCUGGCUCACACCCGUGGGGGAGCCCCUCUAUCCCGGCCACUCUGACGCCCGCGGCUGCAGAAACUCAUGGCUUGCUUGGUGGGAAUAACCGAUGCCCCUGUGGGGCUGGAAGCGUGGAAGAGAAAGAGGAGGCCAAAGGAGACGACAGAGCACUCCUGGUACUGGGGUACAGUCGAUGGGGAAAUGCCCCCUACGAGGGAGACAUCUGCCAGUCCGCUCCCCAGAAUCUCAGGACUAGAGGAAGAGAUGAUGCGAGAGGAAGAAGCAGAUGGCACAGGUGAGAAAGGAAAAUCUUCUUUUUCUGAAAAAUGCCAGGAGUUCCCUGGUAGCGCAGUGGGUUAAGGAUCUGGCGUUAUCACUGGAUCUGGCUCAGGUUGAUGCUGUGGCGCGGUUGGAUCUCUGGCCUGGCAACUGACACAUGCCCUGGGCAUGGCCACAAAAUAACUUCGAAAAAAAAAUUUUUUAAAUGAAAAACUUCAGAAAUUUGAGCAACUUCUACUUUUCAGCCAUAAAACUGGAAGGAGGUAUUUGCUGACUCCCAGGCAAAUUCUUCCAGCAUUUUAAACUAAAAAUUGGCACUAUCAGCAGGAGCUGGUCCUCGGGGAUCUCCAUCCGUCCACAUCUGCACCCUGAGGCUCCCUGUUGAGACUGGACAACUCCCCCCCCAACCCCCGAGCUG